Molecule: small nucleolar RNA, 87 nt
Organism: Euleptes europaea (tarantolino)
Lineage: Eukaryota; Metazoa; Chordata; Lepidosauria; Squamata; Sphaerodactylidae
Product: small nucleolar RNA SNORD11B
Exons: 1
Source: RefSeq, a predicted model, not a curated record
UGAUGGCCAUGAUGAUCCUGCCAUGUCGGCUCUCCUGAUGUAUAAGCCGUGAAGGUUGUACAGUCACUACCUCUUCUGAUGCCAUCU